This 406-nucleotide ribosomal RNA is filed under the name uncultured bacterium. RNAcentral's name for it is "partial 16S ribosomal RNA". It matches the Rfam family "Bacterial small subunit ribosomal RNA", at positions 30 to 526 of the family's 1533-position model. The record is from RNAcentral.
AUUGAACGCUGGCGGCAGGCCUAUCACAUGCAAGUCGAACGAGUGGCGGACGGGUGAGUAAUGCCUGGGAAACUGCCCGAUGGAGGGGGAUAAUUACUGGAAACGGUAGCUAAUACCGCAUACCAUCGGAUGUGCCCAGAUGGGAUUAGCUAGUAGGUGGGGUAACGGCUCACCUAGGCGACGACCCCUACCUGGUCUGUGAGGAUGACCAGCCACCCUGAAACUGAAACACGGUCCAGGCACCUGCGGGAGGCAGAAGUGGGGAAUAUUGCACAAUGGGAGCAAGCCUAAUGCAGCCAUGCAGCGUGUAUGAAGAAGGCCUUCGGGUUGUAAAGUACUUUCAGCGAGGAGGCAUUACUCGCAGAAGAAGCACCGGCUAACUCCGUGCCAGCAGCCGCGGUAAUUC